RNAcentral lists this long non-coding RNA (336 nucleotides) under Homo sapiens (human). RNAcentral's name for it is "non-protein coding lnc-FGD3-1:1". The record is from RNAcentral. Lineage: Eukaryota; Metazoa; Chordata; Mammalia; Primates; Hominidae.
CUAGCAUCUUUCAACUCUGACUUUUCAGGCUCUGUGGCUACAUGGGUGUGAACUGGAACGAGGCAGAAGGGAUCUAUUUUUCUAUUUAGUGCCAAUGAGCCCCCAUGGAUCUACGCAGUGUGCUUUGUGCAGAUGAAGCUGUAUGUACAACAGAGUGAGCUUUGUGACGCCCUCUGCACAGGAGCAGUAUCCGUGAGACAAAAGAGUGGGACUCUGUCACCAUGAUCACAGAUGAAGGAUGCCGGGACACUCUGUCAAAGGAGACUCAGAACUCCAUAUAGGACGCUUGACUAAGAUCCCAGGUACUGUCACCAUGACUGUCACCCACAAUUUUCC